GACACCGCCCUUUCACGGCGGUAACAGGGGUUCGAGUCCCCUAGGGGACGCCA
This 53-nucleotide transfer RNA is filed under the name Pseudomonas fluorescens. RNAcentral describes it as "tRNA-Ser". It matches the Rfam family "tRNA", at positions 22 to 71 of the family's 71-position model. From Rfam's summary of the family: Transfer RNA (tRNA) molecules are approximately 80 nucleotides in length. Their secondary structure includes four short double-helical elements and three loops (D, anti-codon, and T loops). The record is from RNAcentral. Lineage: Bacteria; Pseudomonadati; Pseudomonadota; Gammaproteobacteria; Pseudomonadales; Pseudomonadaceae.